This 672-nucleotide ribosomal RNA is filed under the name Cutaneotrichosporon cavernicola. Its description in RNAcentral is "partial 26S ribosomal RNA". It matches the Rfam family "Eukaryotic large subunit ribosomal RNA", at positions 1 to 663 of the family's 3401-position model. Lineage: Eukaryota; Fungi; Basidiomycota; Tremellomycetes; Trichosporonales; Trichosporonaceae. The record is from RNAcentral.
UGGUCUCAAAUCAGGUAGGACUACCCGCUGAACUUAAGCAUAUCAAUAAGCGGAGGAAAAGAAACUAACAAGGAUUCCCUUAGUAACGGCGAGUGAACCGGGAAAAGCUCAAAUUUGUAAUCUGGCUGUCUUCGAUAGUCCGAGUUGUAAUCUAUAGACGUGUUUUCCGCGCUGGAUCGUAUCUAAGUCCCUUGGAACAGGGUAUCAAAGAGGGUGACAAUCCCGUGCUUGAUACGACCACCAGUGCUCUGUGAUACACGUUCUACGAGUCGAGUUGUUUGGGAAUGCAGCUCAAAAUGGGUGGUAAAUUCCAUCUAAAGCUAAAUAUUGGCGAGAGACCGAUAGCGAACAAGUACCGUGAGGGAAAGAUGAAAAGCACUUUGGAAAGAGAGUUAAAUAGUACGUGAAAUUGUUGAAAGGGAAACGAUUGAAGUCAGUCGUGUUCUUCAGAUUCAGCUGGUUCUUCCAGUCUACUUCUGUUGAACGGGUCAACAUCAGUUUCGUCCGGUGGAUAAAGAUAGUAGGAAUGUAGCUCCCUCGGGAGUGUUAUAGCCUAUUGUUGCAUACACUGGGUGAGACUGAGGACUGCAGCUCGCCUUUUGGCCGGUCUUCGGACACGUUCGAGCUUAGGAUGUUGACAUAAUGGCUUUAAACGACCCGUCUUGAAACACG